Long non-coding RNA from Xiphophorus couchianus (Monterrey platyfish), 886 nucleotides. RefSeq lists it as uncharacterized. The record is from RefSeq and is a predicted model, not a curated record. NCBI's taxonomy places the organism in Eukaryota, Metazoa, Chordata, Actinopteri, Cyprinodontiformes, Poeciliidae. The transcript is spliced from 2 exons.
CUGGCCCUAAUCCUCUUCCGUAGAAGGCAGAGUUGUUUUUAAGGGAAUAAUCCUGGGAGAGGGAAAAAAACAUAAUUUGUCGACGCUAUGUGAUUUAAGCCCACCUCUGGGCUCUGCAGAGCAGUUUGAAGGGUGUGUGCAGGUCGAGGAGUGCUUCAUUUUACAGCCUCAUCCUGCCGUAUAUAUCAGUGGCUGCAACCAGAUCCCGCUCAGAACCCACCGGCCUCGGGGAAUCUCGCUCCCAACAACAGAACACUGAGGCAGUUUCCAAUUUCCACAGGAAGCUGCAGGACGGUGAUCUGGCUGCAGAUGGAGCGGCGAGCGCCGCCGGCUCCUCGAAUGAAACACGCCCUGUGGAGAACGGCUAAUGAGUGGAAUGUUGCGCCGUGUUUUGUUCACUCGCAGCGCCUCCCAGCACCGUCUCCUGUGGAAACCUGGAAACCAUUGCAGGAUGACUGAUGCAUUGUCUGAUUAGAUGGAACCUGCUGCCCUCUUGAGGUUUCACAUUAGAGCAGGACGAGCCAACCUGAACGCAACACAGCAGAUUUACAGAUGUGCGUCUGCGCCAGAUCAAUACAUGACAGGACAAUUUUAGUAUUAAACUUGUUAAAUAAAGAACAGAUUUUGUACUACUGCAAAAUAACUUAUUGCUUGUUUCUACUCAAUAUCAGAUCUGUCUGGUAUUUUCGCCAUAUUCAUAUAUUUAUCUCAUAGCAUUUUAUUGCUUUAUUGAUAUUAUUACAUACUUUUCAUUUAACCCACCGUACACACAGUUUGAGUGAGUAGAUAAAAAUCAGGCAAAUGAAAUCUCUGUAAACUGCAACAAACUGAUGUCUGCAGGCAUCAAUCAAGGAAUGGAAUAAAAUUAAUCUUUUAAAUUGUAAAA